GUAGGUGGCAAGCGUUGUCCGGAAUUAUUGGGCGUAAAGCGCGCGCAGGCGGUUCUUUAAGUCUGAUGUGAAAGCCCACGGCUCAACCGUGGAGGGUCAUUGGAAACUGGAGAACUUGAGUACAGAAGAGGAAAGCGGAAUUCCACGUGUAGCGGUGAAAUGCGUAGAGAUGUGGAGGAACACCAGUGGCGAAGGCGGCUUUCUGGUCUGUAACUGACGCUGAGGCGCGAAAGCGUGGGGAGCAAACAGGAUUAGAUACCCUGGUAGUCCACGCCGUAAACGAUGAGUGCUAAGUGUUAGGGGGGUUUCCGCCCCCCUUAGUGCUGCAGCUAGCGCAUUAAGCACUCCGCCUGGGAGUACGGCCGCAAGGCUG
This 373-nucleotide ribosomal RNA is filed under the name uncultured organism. Its description in RNAcentral is "partial 16S ribosomal RNA". It matches the Rfam family "Bacterial small subunit ribosomal RNA", at positions 527 to 896 of the family's 1533-position model. The record is from RNAcentral.